Molecule: ribosomal RNA, 503 nt
Filed under: uncultured bacterium
Lineage: Bacteria
Description: bacterial SSU rRNA
Rfam family: Bacterial small subunit ribosomal RNA
Source: RNAcentral
GAUGAACGCUAGCGGCAGGCCUAAUACAUGCAAGUCGAGGGGUAACAGGAAGUGCUUGCACUUCGCUGACGACCGGCGCACGGGUGAGUAUCGCGUAUACAAUCUGCCUCAUACUAGAGGAUAGCCCGAAGAAAUUUGGAUUAAUACUCUAUAGUAUCUUAGAAAGGCAUCUUUUUUAGAUUAAAGGUUACGGUAUGAGAUGAGUAUGCGUUCUAUUAGUUUGUAGGUGUGGUAACGGCACACCUAGACUACGAUAGAUAGGGGCCCUGAGAGGGGGACCCCCCACACUGGUACUGAGACACGGACCAGACUCCUACGGGAGGCAGCAGUAAGGAAUAUUGGUCAAUGGACGAAAGUCUGAACCAGCCAUGCCGCGUGCAGGAUGACGGCCCUAUGGGUUGUAAACUGCUUUUAUACAGGAAGAAAAACUUUCUCGUGAGAGAGCUUGACGGUACUGUAAGAAUAAGGAUCGGCUAACUCCGUGCCAGCCGCCGCCGUAACAC